GAUGAACGCUGGCGGCGUGCCUAAUACAUGCAAGUCGAGCGAACAGACGAGGAGCUUGCUCCUCUGACGUUAGCGGCGGACGGGUGAGUAACACGUGGAUAACCUACCUAUAAGACUGGGAUAACUUCGGGAAACCGGAGCUAAUACCGGAUAAUAUAUUGAACCGCAUGGUUCAAUAGUGAAAGACGGUUUUGCUGUCACUUAUAGAUGGAUCCGCGCCGCAUUAGCUAGUUGGUAAGGUAACGGCUUACCAAGGCAACGAUGCGUAGCCGACCUGAGAGGGUGAUCGGCCACACUGGAACUGAGACACGGUCCAGACUCCUACGGGAGGCAGCAGUAGGGAAUCUUCCGCAAUGGGCGAAAGCCUGACGGAGCAACGCCGCGUGAGUGAUGAAGGUCUUCGGAUCGUAAAACUCUGUUAUUAGGGAAGAACAAAUGUGUAAGUAACUAUGCACGUCUUGACGGUACCUAAUCAGAAAGCCACGGCUGACUACGUG
Molecule: ribosomal RNA, 497 nt
Filed under: uncultured bacterium
Lineage: Bacteria
Description: partial 16S ribosomal RNA
Rfam family: Bacterial small subunit ribosomal RNA
Source: RNAcentral